UGAGAGUCCAAACCAGUAUCUUCUCUUU
RNAcentral lists this non-coding RNA (28 nucleotides) under Rattus norvegicus (Norway rat). Lineage: Eukaryota; Metazoa; Chordata; Mammalia; Rodentia; Muridae. The record is from RNAcentral.